GGGAAGGUAAAAAAUACUAUCAUUUGGUCAAUCAGAAUGAAAAUUGCCUUGGGUAUCGCAAAAGGAUUGGCAUAUUUGCACGAGGACUGGAAGUAUUUAGCUUUUAUUUUAUUUUUUUUCCAUUUUAUAGUAUUGAUCUCUUGAAUUUCACAUUCCUUUCACAUAUUUUUAGGUGCACCCAGACUCAUUCAUCGAGAUAUUAAAAAUAGUAAUAUUUUUCUAGAUGAUAAUUUUGAUCCAAAGGUAUGUAUGUAUGUAUGAGUUAUAUAUCAAAUAUUGGUGAAUUAAUUAUAAGUAACGUCAAUCACAAAUGAUUGGCCUUUGAUCACUCACUGCAGCCACUAAAAAAAAAUCCUUAAUUAAUUAACACAUCCAGUGAAAUCGUGGUUUAAAAUAUAAAAUUACAAUUUUAAAAGAUGAUAGCAAAUUAUUUCGUUCAACUUGUUUCGUUUUCAAUUUAAAUUAAAUGACAUUUACUUCUAUAAAUGUACUUCCAGCUAUCAUUUGUUUUUUUUAUUCCUUCAGAUCGGAGAUUUUGGAAUUUCCAAAGAU
Molecule: unclassified non-coding RNA, 552 nt
Filed under: Hevea brasiliensis (rubber tree)
Lineage: Eukaryota; Viridiplantae; Streptophyta; Magnoliopsida; Malpighiales; Euphorbiaceae
Source: RNAcentral